This 391-nucleotide ribosomal RNA is filed under the name uncultured bacterium. RNAcentral's name for it is "bacterial SSU rRNA". It matches the Rfam family "Bacterial small subunit ribosomal RNA", at positions 28 to 423 of the family's 1533-position model. The record is from RNAcentral.
GACGAACGCUGGCGGCGUGCUUAACACAUGCAAGUCGAGCGGAAAGGCCCUUCGGGGUACUCGAGCGGCGAACGGGUGAGUAACACGUGAGCAACCUGCCCUGGACUUUGGGAUAACCCUCGGAAACGGGGGCUAAUACCGAAUACGACUACUGGCCGCAUGGUUGGUGGUGGAAAGUUUUUCGGUCUGGGAUGGGCUCGCGGCCUAUCAGCUUGUUGGUGGGGUGAUGGCCUACCAAGGCGACGACGGGGUAGCCGGCCUGAGAGGGCGACCGGCCACACUGGGACUGAGACACGGCCCAGACUCCUACGGGAGGCAGCAGUGGGGAAUAUUGCACAAUGGGCGGAAGCCUGAUGCAGCGACGCCGCGUGAGGGAUGACGGCCUUCGGUU